Molecule: ribosomal RNA, 495 nt
Filed under: uncultured bacterium
Lineage: Bacteria
Description: partial 16S ribosomal RNA
Rfam family: Bacterial small subunit ribosomal RNA
Source: RNAcentral
GACGAACGCUGGCGGCGUGCCUAAUACAUGCAAGUAGAACGCUGAAGGAGGAGCUUGCUCUUCUGGAUGAGUUGCGAACGGGUGAGUAACGCGUAGGUAACCUGCCUGGUAGCGGGGGAUAACUAUUGGAAACGAUAGCUAAUACCGCAUAACAGUAGAUGUUGCAUGACAUUUGCUUAAAAGGUGCAAUUGCACCACUACCAGAUGGACCUGCGUUGUACUAGCUAGUUGGUGGGGUAACGGCUCACCAAGGCGACGAUACAUAGCCGACCUGAGAGGGUGAUCGGCCACACUGGGACUGAGACACGGCCCAGACUCCUACGGGAGGCAGCAGUAGGGAAUCUUCGGCAAUGGACGGAAGUCUGACCGAGCAACGCCGCGUGAGUGAAGAAGGUUUUCGGAUCGUAAAGCUCUGUUGUAAGAGAAGAACGAGUGUGAGAGUGGAAAGUUCACACUGUGACGGUAUCUUACCAGAAAGGGACGGCUAACUACGUG